GAGUUUGAUCGUGGCUCAGAUUGAACGCUGGCGGCAUGUCUUACACAUGCAAGUCGAACGGCAGCACGGGAGCUUGCUCCUGGUGGCGAGUGGCGAACGGGUGAGUAAUGCAUCGGAACGUAUCCUGGAGUGGGGGAUAACGUAGCGAAAGUUACGCUAAUACCGCAUAUUCUGUGAGCAGGAAAGCGGGGGACCUUCGGGCCUCGCGCUCUUGGAGCGGCCGAUGUCGGAUUAGCUAGUUGGUGAGGUAAAGGCUCACCAAGGCGACGAUCCGUAGCAGGUCUGAGAGGAUGAUCUGCCACACUGGAACUGAGACACGGUCCAGACUCCUACGGGAGGCAGCAGUGGGGAAUUUUGGACAAUGGGGGCAACCCUGAUCCAGCCAUGCCGCGUGAGUGAAGAAGGCC
This 407-nucleotide ribosomal RNA is filed under the name bacterium enrichment culture clone ALO1_GLFRUDD03FN0H0. RNAcentral describes it as "bacterial SSU rRNA". It matches the Rfam family "Bacterial small subunit ribosomal RNA", at positions 9 to 416 of the family's 1533-position model. RNAcentral also lists the same sequence under 1 other name. The record is from RNAcentral.